UUUUUUUUUAAAUUCCUUCUCUCCCCUUCUUCCCAAGGUAAAUCACAUGGUCACUGCUUGUUUGAAAGUAAAUUCUCUCUUGUUGUCUUGAAAGGAGCUGGAGGCUGGGAGGCGAUGAACACAGCAAGGUUAGCUCUCUGGAAAACUUGACUGUUUUGGAAAAGAUGCCCUCCCUUGAGGCAUCGCCUGGAGCCGGUGUUUCCUGCUGCAGCCUCAGCAAGGCAGAGCCGCCCUCGCUGCGCCAGAGCCCUGCGGCGCAGCCCCGCGCAGUGCCCUCCUGCCCCGCUCUGCUCCCCAGAACCGGCUGCAGGCUCAGCAUCGAAAGGGCUCCAGUGGUUCAAGGAAUGAAACAUCGCAUCUACCCCAGCUACUUUCAGCUCUGAACAGCAAAGCAGAGACAUUUGGUUUUCAAACCAGAAGUCCUUGUUUUAGCUUUUGCCAUUGUUUUGUCUCACACCCCAGGCACAGGCCUUGGACUCCUUUCUUGCUGCAUCACAGUGCCCUGAGGACCCUGCCUGCUCCCCCCCGGGGUUUCUCCCUAGGUUUCUCUGUUGCUUUCCAUUGCACAUCAUGAAGAAGAGGGAGAAAUGUCUCACAAGUUUGAGCAGCCUCAGAGCAGCAGCUUUUUUUUCUAACAGCUCUCAUGACCUGUCCUGGCUGGAAGAAGAUAUCACGAAACCAAGAGGUGCAGGGGCUCACUCGUGACGGCUGAUCUCAUCCUCUUUGAGCGAAGGUGAUUUUGCCCAAAAGAUCGUGCUGUCAGAAGAGACUGGACUGAGUGAGAAAGGUGAAAAGCAAGCAAAAGACCAUUUAAAAAUAAGCAGUGCCAAUGACUUGUGGAAAUUUUCCUUAUCUGGUGAUUUAAUAUUCCCAAGUGGGAUGAAAUCCUGAAGAGUUUACAGAUCCAAACACAGCUACUCUCCUAACAGGCAGUUCAGCUGCGCUGGUCAGACGUGAAACACUUUUUUUAAAAAACACACUUUUCCAUUCCCAGGUAGAUUUCCAAAGUUACCAAUAGGAAUUGAACCAGAUUACUUAUGCUAACAGCAUGAGUCUUAUGACUAGCACCUGGUGCAGAGCAUUGGAAAAUUUUAACUGGGAAGUUCAGACCUUUCCUUAUUUUAGCUCUCAGAUAACAAAAUGAACUUUUUUUUUUUUUAAGUGGUUUGAUGUUUUGAUUCUUUGUUUUUUAGAUUUGCUAGACUAGUGACCAAAUAAGGAUCUGAAUUUUUAUAGCAUAGCUCUGAUUUCUUCGGCCAUCAUCAUCACUUGUCCUACAUUAGAUCUAAUCAGAAAAUGGAUCUUCACCUCAAUUGAAAUUCCAAUGAUUUGAUAUUUCUUUCAGACACCAGAAAUAACUAAAAAUGAAAAUGCUAUAUAACCUCAUGAAAAUAAAAAGUUUUAAAAUAUUUUGACUCA
This is a long non-coding RNA of Anser brachyrhynchus (Pink-footed goose), 1419 nucleotides long. NCBI's taxonomy places the organism in Eukaryota, Metazoa, Chordata, Aves, Anseriformes, Anatidae. The record is from Ensembl.